RNAcentral lists this transfer RNA (67 nucleotides) under Mus cypriacus (Cypriot mouse). Its description in RNAcentral is "tRNA-Phe". It matches the Rfam family "tRNA". Rfam says of the family: Transfer RNA (tRNA) molecules are approximately 80 nucleotides in length. Lineage: Eukaryota; Metazoa; Chordata; Mammalia; Rodentia; Muridae. The record is from RNAcentral.
GUUAAUGUAGCUUAAUAAAAAGCAAAGCACUGAAAAUGCUUACAUGGAUAAUUUUAUCCCAUAAACA